AUGAACGCUGGCGGCGUGGAUAAGUCAUGCAAGUCAAGGGGCCCCGCAAGGGGAACCGGCAGACGAGGUAGUAAUAAGUAGGUACGAACCCAGAAGUCAGGAAUAGCCCAUCGAAAGGUGGGGUAAUACUUGAUAGUCCCGCAAGGGUAAAGAUUUAUCGCUUCUGGAUCGGCCUGCUCGGUAUCAGCUAGUUGGCGAGGUAAAAGCUCACCAAGGCUAUGACGCCUAGGGGACCUGAGAGGGUGACCCCCACCGAUGGGACUGAGAUACGGCCCAUACACCUACGGGUGGCUGCAGACGAGAAUAUUCGACAAUGGGCGAAAGCCUGAUCGAGCGACGCCGCGUGGUAGAUGAAGUUCUUCGGGAUGUAAAUACCUUUUAUAAGGGAGGAAGUUUAUUGACGUUACCUUAUGAAUAAGAGGUUGCUAAACUCGU
This 435-nucleotide ribosomal RNA is filed under the name uncultured bacterium. RNAcentral's name for it is "partial 16S ribosomal RNA". It matches the Rfam family "Bacterial small subunit ribosomal RNA", at positions 29 to 506 of the family's 1533-position model. The record is from RNAcentral.